UUGCUCUAUCGCCUUCACCGGGAUCGAGAUGAGGUUUACCAGAUGGUAGUUCCUUGGAUCCUCCUUGCCCUUGUUGAAGACAGAGAUGAGAUUUUAUUUCUUCCAUUCCUCGGGAACCUCUUUCAAUUUCCAUAAUCCAGCAACGACAUCAGCCAGCUCCCUCAGCUCUCAUGGCUGCAGCCCAUGUAUUUGUAUAUGCCAAGUUUAAGUGUUCCCUAACCUCCUCAACUGAGGGAGAAACAUAAUCACCCUGUGUGGAAUAACAGCUCUUUCAGAGAGUUUCUCUACUAUUCCUAGCAUCGAAAUGGACAUUGGCUUUAAUGAAAGCAGAGUCUGACCCUCAUGGCUGUUGCUUCAUGUCCCAUUACAUGACCAGUUUGAAUUCCUUCCACCGGUUAGCUCUCUGUGAAGUUCCAAGAUUUAAACUGGCAAUUCUGAGAACGCUCAAGGACAGGCAAAGAAUCCUUCAUGUUGAGAUGAGGAAAGGGGUGUAUUUGAGAGAAAGGGCCAUCAAGAGAGGAUCAUCAAGGCACCACAUCUGGGGCUGGGAGACCUCUGCUCAAUUUUCACCUCCAGCAACUUUUCCUGACUUGGUGUGAGCGAUUUGUUUUUCCUUGGAUUGCUUCUGCACUUAGAAAAUGAGCCUACUCCUGAACAAAGGUGUUGAAAAACCACAUUAAUCUUUGUAGGGUGCUCAGACAUGGCACACUAAGCACCUGGAUAAAUGGCUGACAGCCACGGGUAGGCAACUUAUUAAUUGCUUUCUUUCAGCGCACGUUUUUGGGUUGCUUUGUGAUCUGUUACGUGUGAAGACACUAAGAUACGUGUUUUAACCAUUAAGUAUGUAACUGUAAAAUAUAGGUUUGUCUAUGACAGGGCCAUGAUACAACUGAACGACAAGGAGAAGCUUCACUUUUCUGCUCUACUGGCUAUCUUUAUACGCAGAAUGAGUGUUGGUUACAUGAAGAUUUGAACAAUAUUGUGCAGAGGCAUAAUAGGAAGGAAACUGAAGAAUUCUGG
This is a long non-coding RNA of Calidris pugnax (ruff), 1020 nucleotides long. RefSeq lists it as uncharacterized. The record is from RefSeq and is a predicted model, not a curated record. Lineage: Eukaryota; Metazoa; Chordata; Aves; Charadriiformes; Scolopacidae. The transcript is spliced from 3 exons.